GACGAACGCUGGCGGCGUGCCUAAUACAUGCAAGUCGAGCGGACUUGAUGGAGUGCUUGCACUCUUGAUGGUUAGCGGCGGACGGGUGAGUAACACGUAGGUAACCUGCCUAUAAGACUGGGAUAACAUUCGGAAACGGAUGCUAAUACCGGAUACGCGAUUUGGCCGCAUGGCCGAAUCGGGAAAGACGGAGCAAUCUGUCACUUAUAGAUGGACCUGCGGCGCAUUAGCUAGUUGGUGAGGUAACGGCUCACCAAGGCGACGAUGCGUAGCCGACCUGAGAGGGUGAUCGGCCACACUGGGACUGAGACACGGCCCAGACUCCUACGGGUGGCAG
Molecule: ribosomal RNA, 337 nt
Filed under: uncultured Bacillota bacterium
Lineage: Bacteria; Bacillati; Bacillota
Description: bacterial SSU rRNA
Rfam family: Bacterial small subunit ribosomal RNA
Source: RNAcentral